AUAAAAAAAAAAAACUAUGACGAUAGCAAUCCCAUUUUUUUUUUUUAACCAAUUGCUGUCUAACAUUUGUUGUCAGGUCAUUUCUUCUACCGGAUAAAUGAAGCAAUAAUUCAACUCCCCAAACACAAAGCUCCAAAAAAUUGGGAUGCGCCAAGGAAAACUUCAGGUAAAAUUUCCCUCAACAAUUUCCCGACUUCACUAACAUGUUCACUUAUGCACAUUUCUG
RNAcentral lists this unclassified non-coding RNA (226 nucleotides) under Hevea brasiliensis (rubber tree). Lineage: Eukaryota; Viridiplantae; Streptophyta; Magnoliopsida; Malpighiales; Euphorbiaceae. The record is from RNAcentral.